GACAAAGCAAGAACAGCAAGAGCCAAGAGGUUAGGGAAGACAUGACGUUAGCAUUCAGAGAUACUGGGACUUUGUAUAUUCAGUGAGUUAGUGUUAAUGUUAACCGGUAAUGUCUUCACAGUGCAAGCAUCUUCAAAUUGACUCAAACUAGUAUAGUAAAGGGUGUGCAGAACCCAAAACUAGUAUCCAGGCAACAUUGACUCAAAAACUGAGGACAGGAAAAUAGUUAGUUGCUUGAUGUGCAAUUCCUUCAUGACGGACGAGUGUAAAUUGGAUAACUUACUAUUUCAAAUUUCAUCUUUUUGCCCUCCACUGAUUCUAUGGCUCUCUCUCAGAACAACAUGAUACAUAGCUUUAACGAUUCAUCCAUUUUCUUAUGAUGAUCUCAAAUUCCCCGUAACAUCUUC
Molecule: long non-coding RNA, 407 nt
Filed under: Setaria viridis
Lineage: Eukaryota; Viridiplantae; Streptophyta; Magnoliopsida; Poales; Poaceae
Description: long non-coding RNA (SVIR_LNC005127)
Source: RNAcentral